AGAGAUCCCAUUGUUGAAAGUUUUAAACUGAUUGCAUUCAAUCAACUCGACGCACGCUUUCAGACAGUGUUCGUGUGGGUCUCCGCGGCACGGCCCGGGGCAGAGCGCCCCCCCGCGCCGACAAGCGCGGCCCGCCGAAGCAACGGGUACAAUAGACAGAUGGAGGUUGGGCCCAAGGACCCGCACUCGGUAAUGAUCCUAGGUGAACCUGGGGAAGGAUCAUUACCGAGUGCGGGUCCUUUGGGCCCAACCUCCCAUCCGUGUCUAUUGUACCCUGUUGCUUCGGCGGGCCCGCCGCUUGUCGGCCGCCGGGGGGGCGCCUCUGCCCCCCGGGCCCGUGCCCGCCGGAGACCCCAACACGAACACUGUCUGAAAGCGUGCAGUCUGAGUUGAUUGAAUGCAAUCAGUUAAAACUUUCAACAAUGGAUCUCUUGGUUCCGGCAUCGAUGAAGAACGCAGCGAAAUGCGAUAACUAAUGUGAAUUGCAGAAUUCAGUGAAUCAUCGAGUCUUUGAACGCACAUUGCGCCCCCUGGUAUUCCGGGGGGCAUGCCUGUCCGAGCGUCAUUGCUGCCCUCAAGCCCGGCUUGUGUGUUGGGUCGCCGUCCCCCUCUCCGGGGGGACGGGCCCGAAAGGCAGCGGCGGCACCGCGUCCGAUCCUCGAGCGUAUGGGGCUUUGUCACAUGCUCUGUAGGAUUGGCCGGCGCCUGCCGACGUUUUCCAACCA
RNAcentral lists this ribosomal RNA (725 nucleotides) under Aspergillus niger. RNAcentral describes it as "eukaryotic LSU rRNA". The stretch from base 412 to 565 matches the Rfam family "5.8S ribosomal RNA". Lineage: Eukaryota; Fungi; Ascomycota; Eurotiomycetes; Eurotiales; Aspergillaceae. The record is from RNAcentral.